Long non-coding RNA from Astatotilapia calliptera (eastern happy), 467 nucleotides. NCBI's taxonomy places the organism in Eukaryota, Metazoa, Chordata, Actinopteri, Cichliformes, Cichlidae. The record is from Ensembl.
ACAAGGCCAUCCAGGUCUUCCAGGUUUUCCCGGUGAUGAAGGAAGUGUGGGACUACCAGGCCCCCCUGGCCGAUAUGGGCCCCCAGGGCCCCCUGGACCACCAGGUCUAGAUGGACUGUAUGGGCUUACAGGUCCAAAAGGGAUGAAGGGGGCAAGUGGCAUAGAUAUCCCUGGCCCUCGAGGACCAGAUGGUUUUCCAGGAGUCAAAGGGGCCAGGGGCUACCAAGGACCUCCAGGAACUACUAUUCCUGGGACUAAAGGCCAAAGGGGCCCACCAGGGAAUCCAGGCCUCCCAGGACUCCCAGGUGAACCUGGUUACCCUGGUAUAAUCUGCCAAACACCUUUGCAGGGACCUGCUGGAGGUCAAGGAUUUGAAGGACCUACAGGACCCCCAGGUCCUCCUGGAGAACCUGGGAUACCAGGCUCCAGCCUUUUGUUCAAAGGAGACCCAGGACCAACUGGCCCCC